RNAcentral lists this ribosomal RNA (497 nucleotides) under uncultured bacterium. RNAcentral's name for it is "partial 16S ribosomal RNA". It matches the Rfam family "Bacterial small subunit ribosomal RNA", at positions 28 to 507 of the family's 1533-position model. The record is from RNAcentral.
GAUGAACGCUGGCGGCGUGCCUAAUACAUGCAAGUCGAGCGAACGGACGAGAAGCUUUCUUCUCUGAUGUUAGCGGCGAACGGGUGAGUAACACGUGGCUAACCUACCUAUAAGACUGGGAUAACUUCGGGAAACCGGAGCUAAUACCGGAUGAUAUUUUGAACCGCAUGGUUCAAAAGUGAAAGACGGUCUUUCUGUCCCUUAUAGAUGGAUCCGCGCUGCAUUAGCUAGUUGGUAAGGUAACCGCUUACCAAGGCAACGAUGCAUAGCCGACCUGAGAGGGUGAUCGGCCACACUGGAACUGAGACACGGUCCAGAGUCCUACGAGAGGCAGCAGUAGGGAACCUUCCGCAAUGGGCGAAAGCAUGACGGAGCAACGGCGAGUGAGUGAUGAAGGUCUUCGGAUCGGAAAGCUCUGUUAUUAGGGAAGAACAUAUGUGUAAGUAGAUGUGCACAACGUGACGGUACCUAAACAGAAAGCCACGGCUAACUACGUG